Molecule: ribosomal RNA, 495 nt
Filed under: uncultured bacterium
Lineage: Bacteria
Description: bacterial SSU rRNA
Rfam family: Bacterial small subunit ribosomal RNA
Source: RNAcentral
CGCUGGCGGCGUGCCUAAUACAUGCAAGUCGAGCGGAAUGAUGAAGAAGCUUGCUUCUUCUGAUUUUAGCGGCGGACGGGUGAGUAACACGUGGGCAACCUACCUUGUAGAUUGGGAUAACUCCGGGAAACCGGGGCUAAUACCGAAUAAUCCAUUUGCUUCAUGGCGAGAUGUUGAAAGACGGUUUCGGCUGUCACUACAAGAUGGGCCCGCGGCGCAUCAGCUAGUUGGUAGGGUAAUGGCCUACCAAGGCGACGAUGCGUAGCCGACCUGAGAGGGUGAUCGGCCACACUGGGACUGAGACACGGCCCAGACUCCUACGGGAGGGCAGCAGUAGGGAAUCUUCCACAAUGGACGAAAGUCUGAUGGAGCAACGCCGCGUGAGUGAAGAAGGUUUUCGGUAUCGUAAAACUCUGUUGUAAGGGAAGAACACGUACGAGAGUAACUGCUCGUACCUUGACGGUACCUUAUUAGAAAGCCACGGCUAACUACGUG